CUUGAAAUCUAGAUCAUUUGUAAAAAAUACAUAUCAUGAAUAUGGAGAAGUUUGAGGUUAGCCAUUGGAAUACCUUCGGUUUGUCGUCAACACUUUCUAAAACUCACACAGAUAAAUGUGAAAGAAAAGAAAUACUAGACUGUAAUCAUUGCCUGGGUUUUUGUUUUUGUUUUUUUCUUUUUCUUUUUAUGGCCACACGUUCGUCAUAUGGAGGUCCCAGGUUAGGGGCUGAAUCAGAGCUUCAGCUGAGGCCUGCAUCACAGCCACAGCAACACUGGAUCUGAGCUGUAUCUGUGACCUAUGCCACACCUUGGGGCAAGGCCAGAUUCUUAACUCAUUGAGCAAGGCCAGGGAUCGAAACCACAUCCUCAGAGACACUAAAUCGGGUUCUCGGCCCACUGAGCCAUAAUGGGCAAGAAUGGGAUUUUUAAACUUCCUCCAAAAGAGGCUGAAAUAGGAAGGAAUCAUAAAUGAGAUUAAAAAUUUGAUCAAUAACUCAAUGUAAGUGAUGUGGUAGGAAAAAAAUACCCGGCUGGGAGCUAAGUUUUGGUUUUUCCACUAUUUUUGUAUCUGCUGUAACUUUAGAUAGUGAGAGUUUGUUGUAAAAUUAUAUGUGAAAAAAAGAACUAAGGGACCUUUUGCUAACUCAGUAACAGAUAUGUUCUGGGCCUCAAAAAAAAAAAGGAAUAGAGCUUGAGAUUUAGAAGAUGAUUUAGGAUCCAAUGUUGUUUUUCUACCAAUAUUAACUUAUCAUUCUUUGGUUAGACAAUCUCUUGCCAAGAUUGUGACUCAGCUCUUCUCUUUAGUUCUACUGCUGGAUAUCUUUUAGUUUCUGCUUAGUCAUGACAUCUAUACUUUGCACUUGAAUGUAUUCACAACCUCUGCAUACUCACAGUCUCACAUGACCACUGCCACCUUAUCAUCUCUGAGCCCCAACUUCUGUGUCUUUUCCAGCAUCAGCCUUCCAUUACCAAAAGGAACACUCUCUGCAUUUUGCACUCUAGUUCUCCAAGGAAGAUAAUCUGAUGAGUGUUAUUGAGUCAUCAUUUUCUUUGGGUAAAGUUCUCAUGCCAGAUUUCUCUGCUACAAGCCAUUAGGUGGAUCCAUAAUACAGGGAUCCAGGCUCCCAGCCUUGACCUAAUCAGAGGCUGCUGAUGGAAAACAAUCAUAUGUAUUCAUCUGGGUUGUGUUAUCGAUGAAGCCAUCCAUCAGUACCUAGGGCUGUGGGUAGGGCCUAGACUUCCUCUCCACUGCACGUUUCUUCAAGACCUAUUUCCACACCUAUAAUAGCAAAAGUUGGAUCAUGCGUCCAUUAAAGUCCUUUCACAUUCUAAGGAAAUAUGAGUGGAUCUUUCGUAUUUGUCCCCCCCCCCCAUUUUUUUUUUUUAAGUUUUUUAGUUAUUACUCUUGUGUGAGGUAUUAUUCUAGAUGUUGAGGAAACAGGAGCAACUGAAACAGACCAAAUGUAUAACAAGAUUCAGGCAAGAGUAAAAUUUUACCCCAAAUGGUACAAAUGAAAUGGUUUUAAUAAGAGAGUGGCUUAUUUACAUAAGGAAAUGUUUAGAGAAGUGAUAAGCACCCCAAGACCAGCAAGACUUAGAAGCCACCACCACAGAUAAUGUUAAAUGGGCCAAGGGGACAUAAUAUUCAAACAAGGAGAUUUUAAGACAUGGUCACAAAGGAUGCAUACAGAUUCUGCCUAAAGACAAGGAAAUUGCAGGAAGAAGUUCCUCAAUCUCUUUUUCUCCUCACACUCUAGUUUACCAGGGCUUCUUACUGGCCUAAUCCAACUGAAAAUAUGAGAUCAAAUGACUCAAAGUGAUACAGUCUUCAGCCUCUGAGAGCACAGCGCAGAGUCAAGAAUUACAGAAAACAGACAGGAGGGAAUCAAAUGCAAGAUAAUUGGUGCACUAAUCUUACUAUCAAGUAGAGCAAACAGAUUAAACUAACUAAAACAAUAAAAUUUGAUUUAAAAAUAAGUACAAAGGAGGUAAAGGAAGAUGGAAAGUGUUUUCAAGGAGGAAGGGAUUAUUUUCUAUUAGUGCAAAAAUAGCACCUGUUGACCAUUUUUGUCAUUGUAAUAAAGAGGUAAAGCAUACUAGCCUUGGAUUCUUUUAUUUUGGAAUAUUUGAUAUGUGAAAGGAAUGUAUGUGACAUAUGCAAGUUAUGAACAUAAAAGGUAAAGCAAACACCAGGCAAUCACCACCAAUUUAAAAAGAAAAUACUAUCCACACCAUGACACUUCUUUGUUCUGCGUCAUCCUUUCCUCCUUUCUUAUUCUUCAUCAGUAGAACCCACUAGCCUGAGUUUUAAUUUUUAAUCACACUCUUUCAAAAAUACAUGUUAGUUUUGCUUAUUUUUGAAAUCUUUAAUUCAUUCUUUUCAGCCUUGCUUUUUCCACUCAAUAAUACUUUUUAAUAUUUACCCAUGGUGACCCUCAUUGUUGUAGUUCAACGUCUCUGUUGAAAAGAUGUUUCAUUAUAUGAAUAUUGUAUAAUUUGUUCAUCCAUUUUCCUAAGGAUUUUAUGUUAUUGUCAAUUUGUUGCUAUUAUGAUACUGGUGCAAAUAUUCUCACACCUCUCUUUUGGAUCCAUAAGCAAGUACUUCUUCGUGAUGUAUAACGCAUACAAGAAUCAAACUGGUAUGUUGUGGAGACUGUGCAUGUUACACUUUUCCAAAAUAGUACCAAUGUGUUUUUCCUACUGGUUGUAUCUGUGUAUAUUCUCACCACCAACAUUUAAGAGUCUCCCUUGAUUCACAUAGUUAUUUGAUGCUAUGGGUUAAGUAUUUGUAUCUCCCUAUAAAUUCAUAUGUUGAUAUCCUAGCCCCCAAGUGCUGCUUACAAGCAACCUGAAUUAUGAUUCUAGACAACAUCACCAUGAUAAGCAAAUGAAAGGAACACUUGAUCUAACAGCUGCUAAGACUUACUAGAAGGUUGUUAUAAUAAAAACAGUAAAAUAUUAAUACAAAAACAGACAAAUUGACCUAGAGAAUAGAAUGACUGUGAGACAGACUCAUAUCUCAGAAUUUAUGUUAUAAUAAACAUGGCACCACAGGUCAGACUGUUUGUAAAUGAUAAUAGAAAAACUUCUCAUUAUGGAGAAAAAUCCAUACUUAUCUGUACCUACCAGAACAGAAUUCAGAUAUAGUAAAGAAAUAAUCCAAAAGAAACCAUAAAGGCAGACAAUAAUGUGCCCUCAGGUUAGGGAAGAUCUUCUUAAAAUUCCAAAGGCAUAGUUAAUACUUUUCAUCACAUCAAAUUAAGAAUUUCUGUGAAUCAAGUUCACAUAAAGCUGCUACAGAGAUAUGAUAUUUGCUAUGUCUAAAAUCACAAGAAAUUAUUACCUAGAAUAUAAAAGAAACACAUCCAUAUGAAAAAGCAUAGGAAUCUUAAAUUUAAAAACUAAGUGCAGGAUAUUUAAAGCAAUUCAGAGCCAAAGAAAUAUAUGUUUUGAUGCUGAAAAUCAUUAGUAAUCAGAGGAAUGUGAUUUAAAACAAAGAGAUAUCACUUUAGGCCCAUCAUAUCCUAAAUACAGAGUGUUGAGUGAAAAAAAUAAGAAUCCUCAUACCGUCUAUGUAAAUUAAGUAUGUAAACUCAUUAAAUAGUUUAUAAUUUACAUUAAUAGUUUAGGAAAGAAGAGUAUAAACCAACUCUACUUUGGGAAAUUGGGAGUGAGGAGUGAACAAGACAUCUUGCAAAGAACAAUGAGGAUUACUAAGGAACCCUUGGCUCCUUAAAGCAAAGCAAAACCAGAGUGCACAGACAAAACCGUAAUGUACCAUCUUAAAUUCCCCACUCCUUCUUGGAAGGCCUACCCACAGGACACCCAUCUCAGGAGCCCACCAUCAUCUAAGCUUUUGCUUCCCUGGGAAUCUUGGUUCCCCACAGUCCUAAUGAGCCUUUUAUAGGCUAAGAAUAAAAAUGGUCAGGUCUGCAGGCACCAGGAAAGUCACAGCAGAAUCAGAGUUGGAUGGUGGUGGGUUGUUGGUUCCUGAGCUCUGUCCUAUAGAACAGUCUCCCCAGAGGGAACUGGGAAUCCAAGAUCAGACAGAACUGGGC
This 4060-nucleotide long non-coding RNA is filed under the name Sus scrofa (pig). RNAcentral's name for it is "lncRNA (ENSSSCG00030024829.1)". Lineage: Eukaryota; Metazoa; Chordata; Mammalia; Artiodactyla; Suidae. The record is from RNAcentral.